UGGAUAAGCGCCAAUGAUGUUAUGCUUCCAAGAAAAGCUCGUACACCUCUAAAAGCAAUUUUAGAAAAACACAAAAAUGACCUGUACCUGAAACCGACACAGGUAGGUUGGUAGAGAAUACUAAGGGGCGCGAGAGAACUCUCUCUAAGGGACUCGGCAAACUAGCCCCGUAACUUCGGGAGAAGGGGCGCCCUUUACAAAAAGGGUCGCAGUGAACCGGUUCUGGCAACUGUUUAUCAAAAACACAGGUCUCCGCAAAGUCGUAAGACAAUAUAUGGGGGCUGACGCCUGCCCAGUGCCGGAAGGUCAAGGAAGUUGGUUAUAAGCCUUCGGGUUUAGAAGCUGACGACCGAAGCCCCGGUGAACGGCGGCUGUAACUAUGACAGUCCUAAGGUAGCGAAAUUCAUUGUCGAGUAAGUUUCGACCUGCACGAAAGGCGUAAUGAUCAGAACGCUGUCUCGGAGAGAGACUCGGUGAAAUAGACUUGUCCGUGAAGAUGCGGACUACUAAUACUUGGACAGAAAGACCCUAUGAAGCUUGACUGUAUCCUGGAAUUGGGUUCGGGCUUUUCUUGCGCAGUCUAGGUGGGAGGCUAUGAAGAUUUCCUUCCGGGGAAGUUGGUGCCAACAGUGAGAGACCACUCUGGAGAGGCUAGAAUCCUAAUGGUGAUCCUUGAAUCAGGACACUUGACAGUUUCAGGUGGGCAGUUUUUCUGGGGCGGAAGCCUCAUAAAAGGUAACUGAGGCGCGCAAAGGUUCCCUCAGUCUGGACGGAAAUCAGACAGCGAGUGUAAAGGCAAAAGGGAACUUGACUGCAAGACCAACAAGUCGAGCAGGAGCGAAAGCUGGCCUUAGUGAUCCGACGGUGCCGCGUGGAAGGGCCGUCGCUCAACGAAUAAAAGUUACUCUAGGAUAACAGGCUGAUCUUCUCCAAGGGUUCACAUCGACGAGAAGGUUUGGCACCUCGAUGUCGGCUCAUCACAUCCUGGGGCUGUAGUAGGUCCCAAGGGUUGGGCUGUUCGCCCAUUAAAGUGGUACGUGAGCUGGGUUCAGAACGUCGUAAGACAGUUCGGUCCAUAUCCGGUAUUAGCGUUAGAAUAUUGAGGUCAGUCACUCAUAGUACGAGAGGACCUGUAGUGAACAUGCCAAUGGUGUACCUGUUAUUUUUCCAAAAGUAAACGCAGGGUAGCCACGCAUGGAGUGAAUAAGUACUGAAUGCAUCUAAGUACGAAGUCCAGACCAAGAUGAGUAUUCUCCAUUAGGCCGCAGCAAGACAAGCUGUUGUAUAGGUAUCAAGUGUAAGGCCAGUAAUGGUUUCAGCUGAGAUAUACUAAAGGCUAAUUGA
Molecule: ribosomal RNA, 1344 nt
Filed under: metagenome
Description: bacterial LSU rRNA
Rfam family: Bacterial large subunit ribosomal RNA
Source: RNAcentral